AGCAGCCGCGGUAAUUCCAGCUCCAAUAGCGUAUAUUAAAGUUGUUGCAGUUAAAAGCUCGUAGUUGAAUUUCGGGAUCAAUAUGUUGGUCGUGCCUUGGUACGUACUGGCGUCAUUGAUUUCUACCUUCUGAAGAACCUCGAUGUCAUUAAUUUGGUGUCUUGGGGAAUCAGGACUGUUACUUUGAAAAAAGUUAGAGUGUUUAAAGCAAGCUCACGCUUGAAUACAUUAGCAUGGAAUAAUGAAAUAGGACGUUUGAUUCUAUUUUGUUGGUUUCUAGGAUCGACGUAAUGAUUAAUAGGGAUAGUUGGGGGCAUUAGUAUUCAAUUGUCAGAGGUGAAAUUCUUGGACUUAUUGAAGACUAACUACCGCGAAAGCAUUUGCCAAGGAUGUUUUGCAUUAAUCAAGAACGAAAGUUAGGGGAUCGAAGACGAUCAGAUACCGUCGUAGUCUUAACCAUAAACCUAUGCCGACUAGGGGAUCGGAUGAUGUUAAUUUUUUUCAAUGACUCAUUCGGCGC
RNAcentral lists this ribosomal RNA (520 nucleotides) under uncultured Glomus. RNAcentral describes it as "SSU rRNA". It matches the Rfam family "Eukaryotic small subunit ribosomal RNA", at positions 569 to 1086 of the family's 1831-position model. Lineage: Eukaryota; Fungi; Glomeromycota; Glomeromycetes; Glomerales; Glomeraceae. The record is from RNAcentral.